GGAGGGUUACCGAAGUGGUCAUAACGGGGCGGUCUUGAAAACCGUUUGGGGGCAACCCCACAAGAGUUCGAAUCUCUUACCCUCCG
This 86-nucleotide transfer RNA is filed under the name Oscillospiraceae bacterium. RNAcentral describes it as "tRNA-Ser". It matches the Rfam family "tRNA". Rfam says of the family: Transfer RNA (tRNA) molecules are approximately 80 nucleotides in length. Lineage: Bacteria; Bacillati; Bacillota; Clostridia; Eubacteriales; Oscillospiraceae. RNAcentral also lists the same sequence under 1 other name. The record is from RNAcentral.